Molecule: transfer RNA, 94 nt
Filed under: Tomistoma schlegelii (false gharial)
Lineage: Eukaryota; Metazoa; Chordata; Crocodylia; Gavialidae
Description: tRNA-Ser
Rfam family: tRNA (bases 1-68)
About the family: Transfer RNA (tRNA) molecules are approximately 80 nucleotides in length. Their secondary structure includes four short double-helical elements and three loops (D, anti-codon, and T loops).
Source: RNAcentral
UGGAUAUAAUUUAAAUAAAAUAUUAGAAUGUGAAACUAAAAAUAGGGAAUAAACACCCCUUAUCCACCCCUCACAACCACCAACACAUAUUAGA